GAACGCUAGCGGCAGGCCUAACACAUGCAAGUCGAACGGUAACAGGAAGCAGCUUGCUGCUUCGCUGACGAGUGGCGGACGGGUGAGUAAUGUCUGGGAAACUGCCUGAUGAGGGGGAUAACUACUGGAAACGGUAGCUAAUACCGCAUAACGUCGCAAGACCAAAGAGGGGGACCUUCGGGCCUCUUGCCAUCAGAUGUGCCCAGAUGGGAUUAGCUAGUUGGUGGGGUAACGGCUCACCAAGGCGACGAUCCCUAGCUGGUCUGAGAGGAUGACCAGCCACACUGGAACUGAGACACGGUCCAGACUCCUACGGGAGGCAGCAGUGGGGAAUAUUGCACAAUGGGCGCAAGCCUGAUGCAGCCAUGCCGCGUGUAUGAAGAAGGCCUUCGGGUUGUAAAGUACUUUCAGCGGGGAGGAAGGUGUUGUGGUUAAUAACCGCAGCAAUUGACGUUACCCGCAGAAGAAGCACCGGCUAACUCCGUGCCAGCAGCCGC
This 497-nucleotide ribosomal RNA is filed under the name uncultured bacterium. RNAcentral's name for it is "bacterial SSU rRNA". It matches the Rfam family "Bacterial small subunit ribosomal RNA", at positions 31 to 518 of the family's 1533-position model. The record is from RNAcentral.